UAUUGUUCGUUUGUGGAGGUAUUUAUAAUAAGGGAAAAUGUCUAUGGCGAGUAUGAUGGUAAGAGCAGGAGUAGUGAUAAAUGUAAAUUGAUCUCGGUGACUAGAAUAUAACACCAUUCAACUCGGUCAUCAGCAUCAUUGGGUUUUGUGUUAUGCAUGCCUUCGACAAGAGAAAAAAGAUGUAUGUAAGCAUCGCACAAAGGCACGAAGUUUCCGUGGAACAUUCUACGUUGCUCAAGUCGAGUAUGCGCUAGAUAUGGGCUACCAAGUUUUGCAUGCUUUUGAGGCAUUACAUUACCAAAGUCAAGAGUAUUUAGAGAGGCCCUUUUUACUGCUUUUUGCAAAGAAAAAAAUUGAAUUUACUUUGGCAAAUAAGCCUGCAUCGAAAACGGAUAUCUUGGACAUGGAAAACGAGAUGAAUCUUGACAUUCCUGUGCUCAAACUUCGAACUUCUUCGAAUGAGCUAUCCCCUUUGCUUCAAGGAUUUUAUAAAAGGGCUCCCAACGAUAUCUUUGGGAAGUUCAUGGCCAAGCCGGGCUCCAACACCUCAAUUGUGCAUUCCAAUGCAGAAAUCUGCGAUGUCUUUUUUUCAAUGGCAAGAAAACUCAGGGACGUCAAUCCAAUCACGGAACAUAUCUGCGAAGUGACAAAUGAGUGUAUCACCGAUUGGUCCUUCCUUGGAGGCAACCUGAUGGCUGGAAUGGCCAUUGUUUUGGAAGCUCAAAUGUUCAUGCUACAAAAGAUGACGGCACUAAUGCAAAGGAAUGUCAAUGUGUUGGGAAUUGCCACCGAUUGCUUGUUUCUCAGCUACCCUAAGACACUUGAUCCCCCUGUGGAAGUGAGCUUGACAUUGGGCAAGUUUAAAGAUGCAUAUCCGUGCCAUGAAAAGGAUAAUUACAUCAAAGAAUUCAUGGCACUCAAUUCGAGGGAUUAUUGCAUCCAAUUCAUGGACGGGUAAAUGGUAGUUAAGCUCAGAGGAUUCAAUCUAACGGCUCCGGCUUCCCGUGAAUCCUUCAUGACCCAGUUUGCCUCAAUCAAGACGGCAAUUUUGGAACACAGAAGGUCUUGUCUUAAGAUCGAUCAAUUCCGAUUGAGAAAAGGCAUUGGAGUAUCACCGGUUAUGAAGAAAAUUGCGUUCAACUUCAGUCCAUACGUUUCCCGCCGUAUUGUGUUCGAAAACAGCGACGGUGAUUUGAAGUCGUUACCAUUAGGAAUAAAAAGUCUCAAAUAACGGCUUUGAGACGGGCAAUGGCUAUUGCCACAAGCCUCUCUUCUUCCUCUUCCUCUUCUUCAAGUAUGGGUGGGGGUGGAGAGGGAGACGGAGUGGCCAAACUAAACGGUGGAAGCCCCUCUUCCCUUCCAAGUGAAAAGUAUGGAUCGGCCAAAUCGGAUAUGGAUGAAACCGCUCCUUCUCCAGAUGGGCUUUGCCGGGAUGUCACUACAGUUCUUCCUCGCCUGAUGAAACGCCAAAUCCCACCGAACACAAGCAUCACCAAAGCGGCAAUCAGACAAAACAAGCCGCCCGCUCUUAACCACAAGUCGAAUUUGCCUCCUGGAUCAACGGAAUGACAAGCAACUGUCCAACAAGGAACGUUACUGAAAUGGAUGAAAAAUAGUUUAUUGAUCGGCAAGUUAAUCUGUAUUUAAAUUAUGAGU
Tigriopus californicus is the source of this 1656-nucleotide long non-coding RNA. RefSeq lists it as uncharacterized. The transcript is spliced from 3 exons. The record is from RefSeq and is a predicted model, not a curated record. Lineage: Eukaryota; Metazoa; Arthropoda; Copepoda; Harpacticoida; Harpacticidae.